This 497-nucleotide ribosomal RNA is filed under the name uncultured bacterium. Its description in RNAcentral is "partial 16S ribosomal RNA". It matches the Rfam family "Bacterial small subunit ribosomal RNA", at positions 28 to 507 of the family's 1533-position model. The record is from RNAcentral.
GACGAACGCUGGCGGCGUGCCUAAUACAUGCAAGUAGAACGCUGAAGAGAGGAGCUUGCUCUUCUUGGAUGAGUUGCGAACGGGUGAGUAACGCGUAGGUAACCUGCCUUGUAGCGGGGGAUAACUAUUGGAAACGAUAGCUAAUACCGCAUAACAAUGGAUGACACAUGUCAUUUAUUUGAAAGGGGCAAUUGCUCCACUACAAGAUGGACCUGCGUUGUAUUAGCUAGUAGGUGAGGUAAUGGCUCACCUAGGCGACGAUACAUAGCCGACCUAAGAGGGUUAUCGGCCACACUGGGACUGAGACACGGCCCAGACUCCUACGGGAGGCAGCAGUAGGGAAUCUUCGGCAAUGGGGGCAACCCUGACCGAGCAACGCCGCGUGAGUGAAGAAGGUUUUCGGAUCGUAAAGCUCUGUUGUAAGUCAAGAACGGGUGUGAGAGUGGAAAGUUCACACUGUGACGGUAGCUUACCAGAAAGGGACGGCUAACUACGUG